RNAcentral lists this unclassified non-coding RNA (378 nucleotides) under plant metagenome. RNAcentral describes it as "partial contains 5.8S ribosomal RNA, internal transcribed spacer 2, and large subunit ribosomal RNA". The stretch from base 1 to 105 matches the Rfam family "5.8S ribosomal RNA", at positions 50 to 154 of the family's 154-position model. The record is from RNAcentral.
GAAAUGCGAUAAGUAAUGCGAAUUGCAGAAUUCAGUGAAUCAUCGAAUCUUUGAACGCACCUUGCGCUCCUUGGUAUUCCUUGGAGCAUGCCUGUUUGAGUAUCAUGAAAUCUUCAAAGUAAAUCUUUUGUUAACUCAAUUGGUUUCUACUUUGGUAUUGGAGGUCUUUGCAGCUUCACACCUGCUCCUCUUUGUUCAUUAGCUGGAUCUCAGUGUUAUGCUUGGUUCCACUCGGCGUGAUAAGUUAUCUAUCGCUGAGGACACUGUAAAAGGUGGCCAAGGUAAAUACAGAUGAACCGCUUCUAAUAGUCCAUUGACUUGGACAAUACUUUUAUGAUCUGAUCUCAAAUCAGGUAGGACUACCCGCUGAACUUAAGC